GAGUAUCGAUCACAUGAUGCAAGGAUUUCAGACAGGUAUCAUGAGCUGCCGGUAAAAGUUAGUUCCUAGUUUCUCUCUCUCUAAAUUUCUUUCUUGAGUCAAAGUCUGCUUCCAUUGCAGGAUCAGUGACCAAGAUUGGACAGGCUUCCAUGAAUCAAAACUUAAUGGUGGUUGCCACCAAGUUCUGUUCACUUCUUUUUGACCUAUAUCCAAGAGUUCUUUGCGAGCCUUGAAGAUUGCCGCCUCCAAGUACCAUUUCGAACUCUUUUAUUUGAGUCUUUAUGAAUCAAGCCUUAAUGGUUUUAGCCACUAAGUCCUGUUCAAACUCAUCCUAAUUAAACAAUAGAUCUUAUUCAUUUAUAUAUAUAUAUAUAUUUUUAUUAUUAUUUUUUUAUUAUUUUUUAUUAUUUUUUUAUUAUUUUUUAUUAUUUUUUUAUAUUAUUUAUUUGAUUUAUUUUUUUUUGUAUUACUCACUAACUAAUCUAGGGUCGAAAUUUAGAGAGAGAGAAAAUGUGAUAAAUAAUCUAAACCAGGCGUUACCUUCCAGACUUGUCUGAAGAAUCUGAUCCCAUGUAUACCAAGCCCCAAGACAAGCGGUUAUGUCAGGUUUAGUGUUGGGAAUCAGCUUUGGUUGCUUUAUGCGUUUCAAGGCAAGUGUGUAGUUGAUAGGUUGAUCUGCUUUAGCAUCUUUAGUGCUAUCUGCAAUCAGUAAAUCUAAAAUGGUGCUAAAGAUUGGUUAGAUAUUCAUGUUUAAAUUAACAUAAGAUUAUAGUCCCUAUUUUCAAUAGCUAAUCAUAAUUUAUUUAAAAUUCCUUUUUACAUAAGAAUAAAAUAAAUUAUAUCAGUAAAUCUCCCCCCAGACUUAAAUUACACUGUCCCAGUGUAACUCAGCCGGAGUUAUGAUGAAAAGUUUAUGAUGUACGAAAUGUAACAAGUAAGGAAGAUACAUCUGACCGGAUUAGAUAUCGAUCGAUCUGA
Molecule: long non-coding RNA, 978 nt
Filed under: Brassica rapa (field mustard)
Lineage: Eukaryota; Viridiplantae; Streptophyta; Magnoliopsida; Brassicales; Brassicaceae
Description: long non-coding RNA (BRAP_LNC008731)
Source: RNAcentral